This 553-nucleotide ribosomal RNA is filed under the name Rodwayella citrinula. Its description in RNAcentral is "eukaryotic LSU rRNA". The stretch from base 183 to 336 matches the Rfam family "5.8S ribosomal RNA". The record is from RNAcentral. Lineage: Eukaryota; Fungi; Ascomycota; Leotiomycetes; Helotiales; Pezizellaceae.
AGGGNACCUGCGGAAGGAUCAUUACAGAGUUCAUGCCCUUCGGGGUAGACCUCCCACCCUUGAAUACCUAUACCUUUGUUGCUUUGGCAAGUCGCUUCGGCUACUGGCUCCGGCUAGUACGUACUUGCCAGAGAACCAAAACUCUGUCAUUAAUGUCGUCUGAGUACUAUAAUAAUAGUUAAAACUUUCAACAACGGAUCUCUUGGUUCUGGCAUCGAUGAAGAACGCAGCGAAAUGCGAUAAGUAAUGUGAAUUGCAGAAUUCAGUGAAUCAUCGAAUCUUUGAACGCACAUUGCGCCCCUUGGUAUUCCGAGGGGCAUGCCUGUUCGAGCGUCAUUUCAACCCUCAAGCUCAGCUUGGUGUUGGGGCCUGCCAUCACUGGCAGCCUCUAAAAGCAGUGGCGGCGCCAUCUGGCUCUAAGCGUAGUAACUUACCCGCUAUAGAACCCGGAUGGAUGCUUGCCAGCAACCCCUCAUUUUCUAUGGUUGACCUCGGAUCAGGUAGGGAUACCCGCUGAACUUAAGCAUAUCAAUAAGCCGGAGGAAAGGAUCAU